AAACUACUCCCUCCGUUUCAAAUUACUUGACCCAUAUUUAUCUAGAUACGAAUGUAUCUAGACACUAAACAAGUAUAGAUACAUCUGUAUUUAGAUAAAUUCAAGUCAACUAAUUUGGAACGGAGGGAGUAGUAU
This is a non-coding RNA of Triticum aestivum (bread wheat), 135 nucleotides long. NCBI's taxonomy places the organism in Eukaryota, Viridiplantae, Streptophyta, Magnoliopsida, Poales, Poaceae. The record is from Rfam.